RNAcentral lists this long non-coding RNA (284 nucleotides) under Phasianus colchicus (ring-necked pheasant). RNAcentral describes it as "lncRNA (ENSPCLG00000016167.1)". Lineage: Eukaryota; Metazoa; Chordata; Aves; Galliformes; Phasianidae. The record is from RNAcentral.
AAGUGAUGGCGAGAGUGCCUUGUCAGCAGAAACAGCAGCAGUAAUUGGACCUGCUGUUAUUGAGCCCUGUGUGCUGCCAGAUGGGAACGGAUUUGCCAAGAACCAUGGAGUCAUUCACCAUUUCCACUGAAGCCAACUGCAGCAGCAUCAGGAGCAUGGUAUCCUUCUAAAUAUACACACACUCCACGUUAUUUUCAUGUGCAUUCCCUGAAGGAUGUCUGCAAGCUCUCUCUCAGUCAGUGAUGGAGCAGCAUAAGGGCCAGCAGUGUCACUGGAGUUGCUGG